RNAcentral lists this ribosomal RNA (497 nucleotides) under uncultured bacterium. Its description in RNAcentral is "partial 16S ribosomal RNA". It matches the Rfam family "Bacterial small subunit ribosomal RNA", at positions 28 to 507 of the family's 1533-position model. The record is from RNAcentral.
GAUGAACGCUGGCGGCGUGCCUAAUACAUGCAAGUCGAGCGAACGGACGAGAAGCUUGCUUCUCUGAUGUUAGCGGCGGACGGGUAAGUAACACGUGGAUAACCUACCUAUAAGACUGGGAUAACUUCGGGAAACCGGAGCUAAUACCGGAUAAUAUUUUGAACCGCAUGGUUCAAAAGUGAAAGACGGUCUUGCUGUCACUUAUAGAUAGAUCCUGGCUGCAUUAGCUAGUUGGUAAGGUAACGGCCUACCAAGGCAACGAUGCAUAGCCGACCUGAGAGGGUGAUCAGUCACACUGGAACUGAGACACGGUCCAGACUCCUAAGGGAGGCAGCAGUAGGGAAUAUUGCACAAUGGGCGAAAGCCUGAACGAGCCAAGCCGCGUGUGUGAAGAAGGUCUUCGGAUUGUAAAACACUUUUAGUUGGGAAGAAGAGAAGUUAAAGUAAACGUUGCUGUUUUGACGGUACCUAAAGAAGAAGCCCCGGCUAACUACGUG